RNAcentral lists this ribosomal RNA (1243 nucleotides) under metagenome. RNAcentral's name for it is "bacterial LSU rRNA". It matches the Rfam family "Bacterial large subunit ribosomal RNA", at positions 1564 to 2817 of the family's 2925-position model. The record is from RNAcentral.
UGAAUACGAGACGCUAAGGCGUCGAAGUAGUGUAUGUCAUACUUCCAAGAAAAGCUUGCACUGUCAUAGAUAAAAAACGCCUGUACCAUAACCGACACAGGUGGGUAGGUAGAGUAUACUAAGGGGCGCGAGAUAACUCUCUCUAAGGAACUCGGCAAAAUAACUCCGUAACUUCGGGAGAAGGAGUGCCUUAUUAUUAAGGUUGCAAUAACAAGAUCCAAGCAACUGUUUACCAAAAACACAGGUCUCCGCUAAGUCGUAAGACGAUGUAUGGGGGCUGACGCCUGCCCAGUGCCAGAAGGUUAAAGAAGCUGGUUAGCAUUUGCGAAGCUAGUAACUGAAGCCCUGGUGAACGGCGGCCGUAACAAUAACGGUCCUAAGGUAGCGAAAUUCCUUGUCGGGUAAGUUCCGACCCGCACGAAAGGCGUAAUGAUUUGGAUACUGUCUCGGAGAGGGGCUCGGUGAAAUAGACUUGUCUGUGAAGAUGCGGACUACCUGCACCAGGACAGAAAGACCCUAUGAAGCUUUACUGUAACUUGAAAUUGAAAUUGGACUUUAUUCGCGCAGUAUAGGUGGGAGGCGUUGAUUAUAAUCUUGCGGGAUUAUUGGAGCCAUUAGUGAGAUACCACUCUUGUAAUGUUAGAUUUCUAACUUUGAAUCAUUAUCUGGUCAAAGAACAGUUUCAGGCGGGCAGUUUGACUGGGGCGGUCGCCUCCUAAACGGUAACGGAGGCGUACAAAGGUUUCCUCUGAACGGUUAGAAAUCGUAUCUAGAGUGUAAAGGCAUAAGGAAGCUUGACUGUGAGACCUACAAGUCGAGCAGGGACGAAAGUCGGUCUUAGUGAUCUGACGGUACUGAGUGGAAAGGCCGUCACUCAACGGAUAAAAGUUACUCUAGGAUAACAGGCUGAUCUCCCCCAAGAGUUCACAUCGACGGGGAGGUUUGGCACCUCGAUGUCGGCUCAUCGCAUCCUGGGGCGGUAGUACGUCCCAAGGGUUGGGCUGUUCGCCCAUGAAAGCGGUACGCGAGCUGGGUUCAGAACGUCGUGAGACAGUUCGGUCCAUAUCCGGUGUAGGCGUUAGAAUAUUGAGAGGAGCCUUCUUUAGUACGAGAGGACCGAGAAGGACAUACCUCUGGUGUACCAGUUAUCGUGCCAACGGUAGACGCUGGGUAGCUAUGUAUGGAGUGGAUAACCGCUGAAAGCAUCUAAGUGGGAAGCCCACCUCAAGAUAAGUAUUCUCAU